This 198-nucleotide ribosomal RNA is filed under the name uncultured bacterium. RNAcentral describes it as "partial 16S ribosomal RNA". It matches the Rfam family "Bacterial small subunit ribosomal RNA", at positions 328 to 539 of the family's 1533-position model. The record is from RNAcentral.
ACGCUCGACACCUACUGGAGGCAGCAGUGGGGAAUAUUGCACAAUGGGGGAAACCCUGAUGCAGCGAUGCCGCGUGAAGGAAGAAGUAUCUCGGUAUGUAAACUUCUAUCAGCAGGGAAGAAAAUGACGGUACCUGACUAAGAAGCCCCGGCUAACUACGUGCCAGCAGCCGCGGUAAUCUGAGCGGGCUGGCAAGGC